AUAAUGGGUCAGCGACUUAUAUUCUGUAGCAAGGUUAACCGAAUAGGGGAGCCGAAGGGAAACCGAGUCUUAACUGGGCGUUAAGUUGCAGGGUAUAGACCCGAAACCCGGUGAUCUAGCCAUGGGCAGGUUGAAGGUUGGGUAACACUAACUGGAGGACCGAACCGACUAAUGUUGAAAAAUUAGCGGAUGACUUGUGGCUGGGGGUGAAAGGCCAAUCAAACCGGGAGAUAGCUGGUUCUCCCCGAAAGCUAUUUAGGUAGCGCCUCGUGAAUUCAUCUCCGGGGGUAGAGCACUGUUUCGGCAAGGGGGUCAUCCCGACUUACCAACCCGAUGCAAACUGCGAAUACCGGAGAAUGUUAUCACGGGAGACACACGGCGGGUGCUAACGUCCGUCGUGAAGAGGGAAACAACCCAGACCGCCAGCUAAGGUCCCAAAGUCAUGGUUAAGUGGGAAACGAUGUGGGAAGGCCCAGACAGCCAGGAUGUUGGCUUAGAAGCAGCCAUCAUUUAAAGAAAGCGUAAUAGCUCACUGGUCGAGUCGGCCUGCGCGGAAGAUGUAACGGGGCUAAACCAUGCACCGAAGCUGCGGCAGCGACGCUGAUGCGUUGUUGGGUAGGGGAGCGUUCUGUAAGCCUGUGAAGGUGUGCUGUGAGGCAUGCUGGAGGUAUCAGAAGUGCGAAUGCUGACAUAAGUAACGAUAAAGCGGGUGAAAAGCCCGCUCGCCGGAAGACCAAGGGUUCCUGUCCAACGUUAAUCGGGGCAGGGUGAGUCGACCCCUAAGGCGAGGCCGAAAGGCGUAGUCGAUGGGAAACAGGUUAAUAUUCCUGUACUUGGUGUUACUGCGAAGGGGGGACGGAGAAGGCUAUGUUGGCCGGGCGACGGUUGUCCCGGUUUAAGCGUAUAGGCUGGUUUUCCAGGCAAAUCCGGAAAAUCAAGGCUGAGGCGUGAUGACGAGGCACUACGGUGCUGAAGCAACAAAUGCCCUGCUUCCAGGAAAAGCCUCUAAGCAUCAGGUAACAUCAAAUCGUACCCCAAACCGACACAGGUGGUCAGGUAGAGAAUACCAAGGCGCUUGAGAGAACUCGGGUGAAGGAACUAGGCAAAAUGGUGCCGUAACUUCGGGAGAAGGCACGCUGAUAUGUAGGUGAAGUCCCUCGCGGAUGGAGCUGAAAUCAGUCGAAGAUACCAGCUGGCUGCAACUGUUUAUUAAAAACACAGCACUGUGCAAACACGAAAGUGGACGUAUACGGUGUGACGCCUGCCCGGUGCCGGAAGGUUAAUUGAUGGGGUUAGCGCAAGCGAAGCUCUUGAUCGAAGCCCCGGUAAACGGCGGCCGUAACUAUAACGGUCCUAAGGUAGCGAAAUUCCUUGUCGGGUAAGUUCCGACCUGCACGAAUGGCGUAAUGAUGGCCAGGCUGUCUCCACCCGAGACUCAGUGAAAUUGAACUCGCUGUGAAGAUGCAGUGUACCCGCGGCAAGACGGAAAGACCCCGUGAACCUUUACUAUAGCUUGACACUGAACAUUGAGCCUUGAUGUGUAGGAUAGGUGGGAGGCUUUGA
RNAcentral lists this ribosomal RNA (1563 nucleotides) under Escherichia coli. RNAcentral describes it as "partial 23S ribosomal RNA". It matches the Rfam family "Bacterial large subunit ribosomal RNA", at positions 612 to 2160 of the family's 2925-position model. The record is from RNAcentral. Lineage: Bacteria; Pseudomonadati; Pseudomonadota; Gammaproteobacteria; Enterobacterales; Enterobacteriaceae.